RNAcentral lists this unclassified non-coding RNA (295 nucleotides) under Gyrophanopsis polonensis. RNAcentral describes it as "partial contains 5.8S ribosomal RNA, internal transcribed spacer 2, and large subunit ribosomal RNA". Lineage: Eukaryota; Fungi; Basidiomycota; Agaricomycetes; Polyporales. The record is from RNAcentral.
CGCACCUUGCGCUCCUUGGUAUUCCGAGGAGCAUGCCUGUUUGAGUGUCAUGGUAUUCUCAACUCUUACCUGCUUUGUGCAGGCUGGAGCUGGAUGUGGAGGCUUUUGCUGGUGUUUGACAUCGGCUCCUCUGAAAUGCAUUAGUGUGGACAUUUUCCAAGUGGCCCCUCAGUGUGAUAAUUGUCGGCACUGUGGGCCUAGGAACUGUGAAGUCUGCGCUUCAAACCGUCUCAUAGUGGGACAAUUUUUUUUGACAUCUGACCUCAAAUCAGGUAGGACUACCCGCUGAACUUAA